CGAUUGACUCCAUGGGACGGCUAUCUGGGUUAAGUCCAUUCGUGUGGUUGAAUCUCCCGAACGGCUGGCAUUCGUAUACUUUUGUCGAUUGAGAAGGGGAGGUUGACGGCUUCAGCGGUGUUCGGCUGAAAAAGUGUCCGUUUUCAGAUCCAUGAAAUAAUCGUCGAACACCGCUGGUCGUUCGCAUGGAAAAAAUGGCCGCCGUCUCGUGGUCGACAUACGAACGACGACCACCCGGCAUUCGGUUUUAAUUGAGAAGUGUGUGUGGUUAACCGCAACGUUCUAAUUGGGAUCAAUAGGUUAACCAGCAGCACACUUCUCUUCUGGGUGGCCGUCCGUUCGGUAGUUCCGUUCGACAAAACCGACAUUCCCUUGAAUAAAGCAUACGAAUGGGGAAAUUCAUGUAACCGGCAAAACAGGCGAACCAAGCAUUUGUAAUCCAGACAGAUGGGUCUGUCACAGUGCUCUUGUCAAGUGUGUUUCGCCAUGCACUCCCCUUUUCCCUGUAAAGAAAAAGCCUGAAAAGGACUGCCUGAUCAACCGCAUGGUCCAAGAUCUACGUGCUGUUAAUGAUGUCACGGUUAAAGACACAGCUGUGGUUCCUAAUCCACAUACAUUAUCUCAAGUUCCACCCUCAGCCACCAUCUUUACUGUAGUAGACCUUGCUAAUGCAUUUUUCAGUGUACCUCUGGACAAAUCUUGCCAAUACCUGCCAUGUCUAUGGUACUGGAACCCUGGCAAAAGUCUCACACUGAUGUGGUCUUGCUCCAAUACGUUGAUGAUUUACUUCUCUGUGCUACCGACCUUCCUACUGCUGAACGAGUCUCUGAAGACCUUCUUGGCUGAAGAAGGAUGCAAGGCCUCUAAGUCUAAACUCCAGUGGUGCCAGCCCUCAGUGGUCUUCUUGGGACAUUGCCUCUCCCAUGGCAUCCGCCACCCUACUAAGGAUAGGGUUCUUGCCAUCUUGAAUCUACCAGUACCCUCUGCGCAUCAGUACUUGCCUUCUUAGGCCUCAUCCCGUAUUGCAGAUCCUGGAUCCCCAAAGCUUCUCACCUUAUGCAACCGUUGUAUGAUGCUCUGAAGAGCGAACCCUUCACACUCUCACCCCAUGCCCUAACCUGUUUCAAUGCUCUGAAGAAAGCCAUUAAUUCUGCACCUGCCUUGGGACUACCAAAUUAUCAAUUACCCUUCAAGUUGUUCGUGUUUGAAAAACAAGGCCAUGCCUCUGGAGUUCUUACUCAACAACAUGUUAUGAGACAAAGACCCAUUGGCUAUUUCUCCUGUAUGCUUGAUCCUGUUGCCAGAGGUAGUCCCUCCUGCCUGAGGGCCGUGUUCGCUGCCAG
This is a non-coding RNA of Pelobates cultripes (western spadefoot toad), 1343 nucleotides long. The record is from the annotation of a GenBank genome assembly. NCBI's taxonomy places the organism in Eukaryota, Metazoa, Chordata, Amphibia, Anura, Pelobatidae.